Molecule: ribosomal RNA, 279 nt
Filed under: uncultured bacterium
Lineage: Bacteria
Description: partial 16S ribosomal RNA
Rfam family: Bacterial small subunit ribosomal RNA
Source: RNAcentral
UGCCAGCAGCCGCGGUAAGACAGAGGGUGCGAACGUUGCUCGGAAUCACUGGGCGUAAAGCGCGUGUAGGCUGGAGGGCAAGUCAGGUGUGAAAUCCCUGGGCUCAACCCAGGAACUGCAUCUGAAACUGCCCACCUUGAGUGCUGGAGAGGGAAGCGGAAUUCCUGGUGUAGAGGUGAAAUUCGUAGAUAUCAGGAGGAACACCUGCGGCGAAGGCGGCUUCCUGGACAGUUACUGACGCUGAGACGCGAAAGCGUGGGGAGCAAACAGGAUUAGAUA